AUUUAAAUAGUUUAAUAUAAAAUAUUGAUUUGUGAAAUCAAAGAUGUUUUUUACUUUAAAUU
RNAcentral lists this transfer RNA (62 nucleotides) under Euaspis polynesia. RNAcentral's name for it is "tRNA-His". Lineage: Eukaryota; Metazoa; Arthropoda; Insecta; Hymenoptera; Megachilidae. The record is from RNAcentral.